CCCUUAGAUGUCCUGGGCCGCACGCGCACUACACUGAACGGAUCAGCGCGUUUUCCCUUCCCGAGAGGGACGGGUAACCUGCUGAACCCCGUUCGUGGUAGGGAUCGGGGCUUGCAAUUAUUCCCCGUGAACCAGGAAUGCCCAGUAAGUGCAAGUCAUAAGCUUGCGUUGAUUACGUCCCUGCCCUUUGUACACACCGCCCGUCGCUACUACCGAUUGAACGUUUUAGUGAGGUACUCGGACUGAGCCUCAGAAGAUUCACGUCUUUUGUGCUGCUCGGGAAGAUUCCCAAACUUGAGCGUUUAGAGGAAGUAAAAGUCGUAACA
RNAcentral lists this ribosomal RNA (326 nucleotides) under uncultured eukaryote. RNAcentral describes it as "partial 18S ribosomal RNA". It matches the Rfam family "Eukaryotic small subunit ribosomal RNA", at positions 1470 to 1796 of the family's 1831-position model. The record is from RNAcentral.